This 810-nucleotide ribosomal RNA is filed under the name uncultured beta proteobacterium. Its description in RNAcentral is "bacterial SSU rRNA". It matches the Rfam family "Bacterial small subunit ribosomal RNA", at positions 66 to 873 of the family's 1533-position model. Lineage: Bacteria; Pseudomonadati; Pseudomonadota; Betaproteobacteria. The record is from RNAcentral.
ACGCGAAAGGGGGGCAACCCCCGAGUAGAGUGGCGAACGGGUGAGAAAUACAUCGGAACGUACCCAGUAGCGGGGGAUAACCUCUCGAAAGAGAGGCUAAUACCGCAUACGACCUACGGGUGAAAGAGGGGGAUCGCAAGACCUCUCACUAUUGGAGCGGCCGAUGUCGGAUUAGCUAGUUGGUGGGGUAAAAGCCUACCAAGGCGACGAUCCGUAGCUGGUCUGAGAGGACGGCCAGCCACACUGGAACUGAGACACGGUCCAGACUCCUACGGGAGGCAGCAGUGGGGAAUUUUGGACAAUGGGCGAAAGCCUGAUCCAGCCAUGCCGCGUGAGUGAAGAAGGCCUUCGGGUUGUAAAGCUCUUUCGGCUGGGACGAAAAGGUUCGUGCUAACACCACGGAUCCAUGACGGUACCAGCAGAAGAAGCACCGGCUAACUACGUGCCAGCAGCCGCGGUAAUACGUAGGGUGCAGGCGUUAAUCGGAAUUACUGGGCGUAAAGCGUGCGCAGGCGGUUUGCUAAGACAGGUGUGAAAUCCCCGGGCUUAACCUGGGAACUGCGCUUGUAACUGGCAAGCUAGAGUGUGGCAGAGGGGGGUGGAAUUCCACGUGUAGCAGUGAAAUGCGUAGAGAUGUGGAGGAACACCGAUGGCGAAGGCAGCCCCCUGGGCUAACACUGACGCUCAUGCACGAAAGCGUGGGGAGCAAACAGGAUUAGAUACCCUGGUAGUCCACGCCCUAAACUAUGUCAACUGGUUGUCGGGGAAGCAAUUCCUUGGUAACGAAGCUAACGCGUGAAGUUGACCGCC